UUAGCUAUGGGAGUAAAUUUGCCUGCUCACCUAGUAGUUAUAAAAUCUACAAUGCAUUAUGCUGGAGGACUGUUUGAAGAGUACAGUGAAACAGAUAUUCUACAGAUGAUUGGUAGAGCUGGUCGACCUCAAGUUUUGCAUCUGGAUUGAACAAAGAUGGAAUUGAAGCAAAAUUACAAGAAUUAUGUUUGAAGAAUCUGAAUGAUUUAUCAUCCCUGGACUUAAUAAAGAUGGAUGAAGGUGUUAAUUUCAAACCAACUGAAGCAGGAAGAUUGAUGGCUUGGUAUUAUAUUACAUUUGAGACAGUGAAGAAAUUUUAUACAAUCAGUGGAAAAGAAACCUUAUCAGAUCUGGUUACAUUGAUAGCUGGCUGCAAGGAAUUUCUAGAUAUACAGUUAAGGAUAAAUGAAAAGAAAACACUGAAUACUUUGAACAAAGAUCCAAAUCGGAUAACUAUCAGAUUUCCAAUGGAAGGAAGAAUUAAAACAAGAGAAAUGAAAGUAAAUUGUCUUAUUCAGGCUCAACUAGGAUGCAUUCCCAUACAAGAUUUUGCUUUGACACAAGAUACCGCAAAGAUUUUCAGACAUGGCUCCCGAAUUACAAGAUGGUUGUCAGAUUUUGUAGCUGCUCAAGAAAAGAAGUUUGCUGUACUAUUGAAUAGUUUGAUUUUAGCUAAAUGUUUUAGGUGUAAACUUUGGGAAAACUCUCUGCAUGUAUCCAAACAACUGGAAAAAAUUGGUAUAACAUUGUCAAAUGCAAUCGUAAAUGCUGGUUUGACUUCCUUUAAAAAAAUAGAAGAGACAGAUGCAAGGGAACUUGAAUUGAUUUUAAACAGACAUCCCCCCUUUGGAACCCAGAUAAAAGAAACUGUGAUGUAUCUACCAAAAUAUGAACUUAAAGUGGAACAGAUUACAAGAUAUAGUGAUACGACGGCAGAAAUAUUAGUGACUGUUAUAUUAAGAAAUUUUGAACAGCUACAAACUAAAAGAACAGCAUCGGAUUCUCACUAUGUUACCUUAAUCAUAGGUGACGCAGAUAAUCAAGUAGUUUAUCUGCACAAGAUUACGGAUUCUGUUUUGCUAAAAGCUGGAAGUUGGGCUAAAAAGAUUGCUGUGAAAAGAGCUCUUAAAUCUGAAGAUCUUAGCAUAAAUCUAAUAAGUUCUGAAUUUGUUGGGCUUGAUAUUCAGCAGAAACUUACAGUCUUUUACUUAGAACCCAAGAGGUUUGGAAAUCAAAUCACUAUGCAAAGAAAAUCUGAAACACAGAUUUCCCAUUCUAAACAUUCAGACAUAUCUACAAUAGCAGGACCUAAUAAAGGAACGACUGCCAGCAAAAAACCUGGGAACCGAGAAUGCAAUCAUCUUUGUAAAAGUAAACAUACAUGUGGACAUGACUGCUGUAAAAUUGGAGUUGCACAGAAGUCAGAAAUUAAAGAGUCAACAAUUUCUUCAUAUUUAUCUGAUUUAAGAAACAGGAAUGCUGUUUCAUCUGUUCCUCCAGUUAAACGUCUGAAGAUACAGAUGAAUAAAUCUCAAAGUGUGGACCUUAAAGAGUUUGGUUUUACUCCAAAACCUUCCCUUCCUAGUAUAUCAAGGUCAGAAUAUUUAAACAUAUCUGAAUUGCCUAUAAUGGAGCAGUGGGAUCAGCCUGAAAUCUAUGGAAAAGUUAGACAAGAACCAUCUGAAUAUCAAGACAAAGAAGUUUUGAAUGUGAACUUUGAAUUGGGAAAUGAAGUUUGGGAUGAUUUUGAUGAUGAAAACUUAGAAGUUACUAGCUUUUCAACUGAUACUGAGAAGACAAAAAUAUCAGUUUUGUUUCAUCACAUGAGAUGUCGGAUAUUUCUUUAUCAAAUUCUGCUAUGCCCAAGUUCAGUGCAUCCUCCAUGACAAAAUUACCUCAACAAGCCGGAAAUGCAGUUAUUGUCCAUUUUCAAGAAAGAAAACCACAAAAUCUGUCACCAGAGAUUGAGAAGCAAUGCUUUACUUUCUCUGAAAAAAACCCAAAUUCUUCAAAUUAUAAAAAAGUGGAUUUUUUUAUUAGAAACAGUGAAUGUAAAAAGGAAGUUGAUUUCAGUAUGUAUCAUCCUGAUGAUGAAGCUGAUGAAAUGAAGUCUUUAUUGGGAAUAUUUGAUGGUAUUUUCUAAAACAAACAAAUACUUUUUAUAUUGAUAAGAGAAAGAAUAAAGACACCUAAUCACAAAGCAUGCUUUUUAUUUUUAAAAAGUAGUUCAUAAUUGUUCGGAUUUUUUUCUCCUGUAUUUGAUUAGCUUUGUUCACUUUUUGCAACAAAAUGUAUGGGCCGAUUUAUUUUCCCAUUAUAUUGUAACUUCUUGAAAAGCUCUUUUACAGUGGCUUUGUUUCAAUAAGCCCUUAAGUUAAGGGCUGAUUGCACUUAGAAAUAAGUUGCACUUAGAAAUAAUUAUUUGGCUAUUAAUUGGAUUUUGACAAGAACCAAUGUAAAAUUUCAUUUUUAUAUUUUCUUAACAAGAAGAAAAAUAUUCUAUGAAAGCAAAGUAAUGCUAACUUAAUGAAUCUGCUUAUUGUAUGGAUUAAUCACUAAUAUUAUUCCCAUGUAUUUUGUUUUACUAAAGAUUUUUAAGAAUCCAGUGGCUAUUUGAACCUACUGUUAUCUAACUUUGAGCAACAAUAAAUGAAACAUUAAUCAGUA
This 2667-nucleotide long non-coding RNA is filed under the name Homo sapiens (human). RNAcentral's name for it is "non-protein coding lnc-HFM1-2:1". The record is from RNAcentral. Lineage: Eukaryota; Metazoa; Chordata; Mammalia; Primates; Hominidae.